UCGCACCCCCUGCACCCCCCCCCCCCCCCCCCCUGGGUACUGGCUUUAUCAUAUUACUCCUUUUUCAAUUUUCACUAUAAGAAAAUGGAACAAAUUGACAAAUAAUAAUGUUUUCUUGUAUUACAAUCAUGGUCAUAUAUUACAUGGGCCUCGCUACUUAAUUUAGUCUCAUACACUAAAUGUUAUUAACAGAUACACUACAUAACCAGUUGUGUUAGGCGUUCAUCAUUUUCAUUUUCUUAUAGUCAACCUGAAAUAGGUGUAUACGAUCUUGGUUGAUACGUUGUAACCUUGGUUGUAACGUGUAUAUCAUAUAUAUAUAUUUUUUGUUGAAGAUUCUUGGAGAAAGUGACAUCGAAAAAGUAUGCAACGACGCGGCCGGGAUUGGCUCCAGAGAACUAUCAGACAGCAACAUGACGUCAUCAUCAGCAAAAUCACCCAACUCUACAUACGGGCCCCAACAGGCAAAGCUACACAGUGCGCAUUCGUGGUGUGCGGCCCAAGGUGACACUAAACCAUACCUUGAGAUCUUAUUGGGCAUCGUCCGAAUGAUCAAGUACAUCGCUACUCAGGGAAACCCGACCGCUGACCAGUUUGUGACUUCAUUUAGCCUAGAAUCGUCUGUCAUCCAGGACUUGUGGAUCACUUAUGUCGAGACAGGAGCGCGAAAAAUUGUAAGAACAUCGACCGAUACACAAAGCUCUUAAUAUUUUUGUUAAUGGCGCCAAAUACAUACAUAUACCGAUUUCCCUUGAAGGUUCGAAUUUUUAGGAGUCAACCGUAUGUCUCGCUCUAGUAUGGCAAUUAGACAAAAAAGCUUCGGUAUUGUGAGCGUGGAGAUUCUCGCGCUUCAUAUAUUUGCGUGCUUUUCAUGUAGUGUAUGCUUUGUGCGAAAAUAGAAGCGGCAAACAACCUGUUGUAGAAAAGCGCAAAAUGCGCGCGAAAAUUCUAUAACUUUGCGCUGAGCUUCGUUUAUACAAUAAACAUUUCUCUUUUGGAGG
Nematostella vectensis (starlet sea anemone) is the source of this 1001-nucleotide long non-coding RNA. RefSeq lists it as uncharacterized. NCBI's taxonomy places the organism in Eukaryota, Metazoa, Cnidaria, Anthozoa, Actiniaria, Edwardsiidae. The transcript is spliced from 2 exons. The record is from RefSeq and is a predicted model, not a curated record.